GGAGUACGGCCGGCAAGGCUGAAACUUAAAGGAAUUGGCGGGGGAGCACCACAAGGCGUGAAGCUUGCGGUUCAAUUGGAGUCAACGCCGGGAACCUUACCGGGGGCGACAGCAGUAUGAUGACCAGAUUGAAGGUCUUGUUUGACAAGCUGAGAGGAGGUGCAUGGCCGUCGCCAGUUCGUGCCGUGAGGUGUCCUGUUAAGUCAGGCAACGAUCGAGACCCGCACCCUUAGUUGCUACCGAGGAAAUUUUCCAAGGGGCACUCUAGGGGGACUGCCGUCGACAAGACGGAGGAAGGAGCGGGCUACGGCAGGUCAGUAUGCCCCGAAUCCCCCGGGCUACACGCGAGCUGCAAUGGCAGGUACAAUGGGUUCCGACCCUGGAAAGGGAAGGCAAUCUCGAAACCCUGCCUCAGUUUGGAUCGAAGGCUGGAACCCGCCUUCGUGAAAAUGGAAUGCCUAGUAAUCGCGUGUCAUCAUCGCGCGGUGAAUACGUCCCCGCUCCUUGCACACACCGCCCGUCGCUCCAUCCGAG
RNAcentral lists this ribosomal RNA (534 nucleotides) under uncultured crenarchaeote. Its description in RNAcentral is "bacterial SSU rRNA". It matches the Rfam family "Archaeal small subunit ribosomal RNA", at positions 832 to 1366 of the family's 1478-position model. Lineage: Archaea; Thermoproteati; Thermoproteota. The record is from RNAcentral.